CCCCUCGUAUAAGGCCCAUUUUGCCUGGCUUGUAGACAUGGAAACCUACAGGUGUACCAGUACUGUGCUUCAUUCUUCAUACAAAAGGAGAACAUUUAAUUUGAAAAUCAGAACUCUGAUACUUUCUCACAUGGAAAUUAAAACGCAAGAAUUCUCAGCCUCUUCUUUCUCUACAUAAAAACAUUUUCAUCAUGCAUGAUCCAUUUGAUCGUUCUUCCAUCCUUUACCAAAAUGCAUUUCACAAAAAGCUUCGGAUCUUUCCACUGACUUCAUUUAAAUGGUCGAUUUUCACGGUAUACCCAGGAGGCUGAAUUUGCAACCACAUGUGAUGUACUGUCGAGACAAUUGAAUGUAGAGGGCAACGUUUAUGCAGCAUGUCUGUCUACCCCAUGCAUGUACUCAAAUCUCAUCCAAUGUGCGACUACAGAAGACAUGAGAGUAGAUUCCCAGCCAGUUCCGAGUCCAAAUGUUGUGGCAGCAAUUGAAACAAAAGGAUCUGAACUGGGUGGUGCACAAUUCACAUUAGGCACAUUAAGGAUUUGAUGUUGUUGCAAAGCCUCCUCAUUUAUGAGUGAAUUGAGGAACGAAAACACAUCGUCGGUGCCGGAAUUGAUAUCUUGAUCAGCUUCUCCAAUACCAAGACUUUGAUCGCCUUUCAAAUCCAUCCCAGAAGUACCAUCAUAAUUCAGCAAACUUGUAUAGCCAUGACUUGCAAUAAAAUGGUCGGCGUGAUACUGAUCAUCGAGGUGGGCAUUAAUGUUGUUUUGAAAAUACUCAUUCUCUCUGUUGAUUAUGCGAGUACUGCCACUAGUAGCUUCUUCCAAACCAGAAGAAACAAUAUUCUUAAUAGGUUCUUUUAGGCGUGCUUGGUGCAGAUUCGCCUUCGACAAAGAAGGUUUUGAUUGAUCAAAAGAUUGAGGAUUGAGAGGCUUAUGGGUUCUUGGAUCAAUUCCCUGGCUUAUCAGCUUCUUACUCAGGUGCGUGUUCCAGUAAUUCUUUAUUUCAUUAUCUGUACGCCCUGGAAUUCUCCCAGCUAUCAAUGACCACCUAAAGAAACAACCCAUUGACCAAAUCAACACAAGUAGCUAGUCCAAGCUAAGAUCUAGCUAAAAUUUGUUCAAAGUAAAGUGAUAUACAUUUCCUUUCUAGCUCAAAUCUUGAACGAAGAAGAAGGUGAAAUUUAAGAACACAGAUCGUUUACAAGAUUCAAGCACAUGAUUCAUUGAAAACCAGAUUCAUGCAGGUUUCGAGCUAAACUAGCUAUAAAAUAAUUGAAGAGAGAGCUCACGUAAAUUAUACAUGGAUCAAAACCAGCUCGAAUGUUAAUUGACCAAACUCUAAUAAGAACAAAAAAAAAGUGAAGGAAAUCUCUUUCACGAGCAAUCCACAACAUAUAUACAGUGAAACCCUAAAACUAGCUAGCUAUACUAACUAAACCAAAAAAACAAAACCCUAAAAGAAAGAGACCCAAUUCAGAAAAAAGGAAUUUAAGACAAACCCAGAAAAAGAUUGUAUUAAAAAAAGACUAAAAACAAAAUUAACCGAUACAAAUAUUUGUAUUUGUCUUAAUUCCUGUGUGGGAUAUAUAGUAUAUGUAAUUACCUAUUGCCUAGGAGUCGAUGGAGGCGGAGAAUGAGAUCUUCUUCAUCAUCGGCGAUCUGGCCACGUUUAACAGAAGGGCGGAGGUAGUUCAUCCAGCGGAGACGGCAGCUCUUGCCACAGCGGAGGAGACCGGCUUUCUUGGGUAAAGUUCGCCACCGACCUUCACCUUCUUUCUUGAUAUAGUUAACAAGGAGUUCAUCUUCUUCUGGUGUCCACGGUCCUCUCUUUAACCCUACCUUGAUGCAGCAUGGGGUGGUCUUUGCUGCUGAUUCUGCUGUUGUAGCUGAAGUUGGCUUUCUCAUCUUGAUUAAUAAUGUAUUGGAAGUAUACUCGAUAUAUCGAUGGGUUCAACUAAGCUUUAGCUUACCUACCUUUUUCUUGUUUUCUUUCUAUAUUUGUUUUUUGAGUUGUAGUAAUAUCUAGGAUGUUGUAUAUGUGUAUAUGUAGAAUGUCGUGUGAUGAUGAUAUGAUGAGCUUGAGGUUUGAUGGAUAGAAAGGAGGAGGAUGAGGGUAGGGUAGGUUAGGGGACUCUUCUCUCUUCUUCUUCUUCUUCUUCUUCUUUUUUUUUUUUUUUUUUUUGUGUUGAGAGUAAUUUCUUCUUGGGAUCAGACGGUGUGAGGUUUGUUGGGUUUAAUGUGGAAUAGGAAAGAUACUGAUAAAUAGGCAAUCGCCUUACAAGGGGAGUGCAUGUGACGACACCCUAAUAUUCAUCCAUCUAUAGAAUUAUCAUUCAUUUGAUA
Molecule: long non-coding RNA, 2342 nt
Organism: Populus trichocarpa (black cottonwood)
Lineage: Eukaryota; Viridiplantae; Streptophyta; Magnoliopsida; Malpighiales; Salicaceae
Exons: 3
Source: RefSeq, a predicted model, not a curated record